UGGAGGCAAGGGGAAUGAGAGGAAGCAGAUUAUGCUCAGAAUAGAAGCGAAUGUUUUCGAUGGAGACACAACAGCCAAUGCUGUGCAUCAGAAAGAACCCGGCAUCAUGUUCAAGCAGCGUUCAAGUACGGAGCCGGGUGGAAAUGGCCGAACACGUGUGGUAGCCAAUAUUCAGGAUAAAGAGAGAAUGCAAGUGCGAUCUCAUGACCCUGAGAUCAUGACCUGAGCUGAAAUCAAGAGUUGGACGCUUAACCCACUGAGCCACCUAGGUGUCCCCAACAUGAUUUUUUUUUUUUUAGGUGAG
Mirounga angustirostris (Northern elephant seal) is the source of this 304-nucleotide long non-coding RNA. RefSeq lists it as uncharacterized. The record is from RefSeq and is a predicted model, not a curated record. NCBI's taxonomy places the organism in Eukaryota, Metazoa, Chordata, Mammalia, Carnivora, Phocidae. The transcript has 3 exons.